Long non-coding RNA from Mustela erminea (ermine), 2919 nucleotides. RefSeq lists it as uncharacterized. The record is from RefSeq and is a predicted model, not a curated record. The transcript is spliced from 4 exons. Lineage: Eukaryota; Metazoa; Chordata; Mammalia; Carnivora; Mustelidae.
CCGGGGCCAGCCGGGCGCACGCGCCAGUUUUAAAGAGCCUCCCGAAAGCCUCGGUGGGAACUUCCGGCAGGCAUUUAAAGGCCGUAUGAUUCACGGAGGCCGGAAGGGGGCGGAGCGGGAAGUGAUCCGCGUUUAGAAGCCGGGUCGGAAACGCCUCUUUGAACGUGCGGGGGCGGUGUGUAGGGCGGAGGGGCGGGGCCGCUGAAGGUUGUCGCUCGGAUUUGUGACGUCGCGUUUUUACAUCCCAAGCGCUCAAUGAGCAUCCCGAGUACGGCAGUGGAGGGCGGUGUAGUCCGCUAGCGGGGCUGGCGACAGCCUGUUUCCCUUCUCCUCGUUUCGACGGUAAGACUCGUGUUCCUGAGGAAGGCGACCGGGGGAGUCAUUUCCCCAAAUCUUUCCAGCCUUGGUGGGCCGCGAAGUUGACUUGCUUUCAAACGACUUCGUGCCUCACCGAGCCUCCUGCCCGUCCCCCCUCACUGCGAGUGAUCGUUAGUACUUUUAAAGCAGAUCGAGGGAUUCCAAGUUCCGAUAAACCAGAGCGCAGCAAAACCUUCACCGAGUCCUGCCUUCGGUAGCCCAGCCUCCGUCUCCCUCCAACAAUCCUGAAAUAGCGGAUUGGUGCCGGGGAUGUUGACGUUGAUUGGUAUAAUGCUUUGCAUUUUCAAAAGAGCUUUUCGCAGCCCACCUGAGGGAUGGCUAGGAGGGUGUAAGGAGAACCAAGACAGUCCUUGGGAGGCAAGGGUUGACCCAGUCCCGGAGCUCCCACUACUUAACCAGUUUGCGCAGCGUCUGCUACAUGUUUUCACUGUUGAGAGAGCUGAAAUUUUAAAAAUUUGGAAUUUUAAAAAUCAAGGGGUAAUUACGGGAGCCCUCGGCCAGGUUAAAUCAUCCUUGAGUCCUCUAAUGAAAACUGAGGCUAGUGGUGAAACCUAAUAAACUCUACCUCAACCACAUGAUCAAGGAAUGUGUUGACACUGAAGUUCAAGCUGAUCUCACACUGCAAAGUGGUGUUAUGGUAAGGUGAAAUCUUACCAAAUACACUCAACUGUUUUUGUAAAUGUUUUUGCAACUACUUUCAAACUUGAGAAACUUUUUAUUUCAACGGAGGAGGAAAUGUUAGAUGAAUGAUAAAGAAGAUCAUUUAUUUCUUAAAUAACAGCAUAAUUAAAUAUAAUUGCUUGUGGUUAGAACCAUAUUAGUUAUCUUAAGACAAAAUACCUUGAAUUAUUAAAUGUCUUGAGUUCUCACUGUAUAAUUUUAUUUUAUUUUUGUGCAAAUUAAAAACCAUAGUGAAAUAUCACAGAGAAAGUCAUCUGACGUUUAGUAACCUGUAACAAAACUCAUUUGCUAUUUCUAUUUAAAAAAGAAAAUAUUUACCUUAAGUUCUGCUUGUUUGGAAAGGCUGUCAGUCAAAAGCAGUGUAGAGAGGUCAAAUAACAAGGAUAAACCCCAUGGGUGUAAAAAUCUAUAGUUUCAUCUGGUGGUAUCUUUAUGCUUCAGACUGUGGAACAUCUAUAAUACAAGUUAGUGGGGGUGGGGGGGGAUCCCAGCACGGGCCUGAGCCAUAGUCACCCUAGGAUUCAGGCACAACUGGAUGGCUCAUGAUCCCAUCUAAUCUGGGGUCCAGUGCCUGUGGGACUGAGGAGUUUCCCAUAAAGAAGUCAUCCUAAGGGAAGACAGAGUUGAGAAGCACAAGACGAGCUACCGUUGCACAACAGGGCUCUGGUAGUACUCAGUCCUCACAGACUCACAUCUAGGUAGGGGAAGGGAAAGCACCAUUCACAGUCACAGCAUUAACAGAAAAAGAAGUACUCCGGUGGGACGGGGCACCGCAUGGCUCCUUUGAGUUUGGCCGCAUUCACCCAGCAGCCAGAGCAGUGCUGGGAACGCUGGCAGUGUUGAGAGGUGGCAAGUGAUGUUUAGAAGGCUUAGGGGACUUUGUGGGAGGAGCUGGGAAGCUAUACCCUCGCGCAAGGAGCAGGAGACAGAGGAAGAAGAAAGGCAAGUGGCUUGCAACCAUACAAAUAUGUUCCGCCUGUAACUCCACAAACCAGUUGGGAGAAGAACAGCAUGAGAGCUGAAGGUUCCACAUGAGCGUGGGAUGAAAGCGGAGGCCAUGAAGACCCAGGUCUUGCUAGUGUGGCUGGGGAAAAGCCGGCUCAACUGAGUGACACACCUGCUUAAUCUUGCUACAUUCCCUACCCAGUGGAGGAGAACACAGAGAUAAGUGAAUGUCACCAGAGGGCUGUAUGCUAUGUGUUGACCCUGCCUUUCUGUUCUAGCCAUCAAGAUGCAAUGGGAAUUUUGACUUUGUGGACAUUUGGGGCAGAAUUAUGCUGAAAAAGAUGAAUUUUCACUGAAAGUCUUUUUCCCUUGUGGAGAUCCUCCUCAAAUUAAUUAGUUCUAAGGUUGGGUUUAUAGAAAUCUAUGGAAGUAUCAUGAAGAAAAUACUGGACAGUGGGAUUACUAGUCAGCAUAUUACACUGAAAGGGCACCACAUUUGGAAUGAGAAGACCUUGGGCUUCUGUCCUCUCUUUACCAGGUAAUAUAGUUAGGAUGUCCUACAAUAGUUGUUCUGCCUCUUUGAGAAUCCAUUUAUUUCCUUUGCACUAAAAUGGUGCCCUGUCUCCCAAUGGCUAAAGGAUUCUUAUGAGACUUAUAUUGUGAUAAUAUAUGUGAGACCAUUUUGUCAGUAACAAAGUUUAAGCCCAAUGUAAGGUGAUGAUAAUGAUAAUAAUAAUAAUAAUAGGCCUUAAGUAUCAUGACACCUUAUUGAUAAAGUGUCUUCAGACUUUCUAUCAACUUGAAUUUUCCCUUUUCAGAAUGACCCUACCAGACUUUACCUCAUCUAAAUACCACCGUUGACCUCCAACCCCAUUAUAUUCAUCACAUUUUUUUAGUCGCUUGCUUUUUUUUAUU